This 4899-nucleotide long non-coding RNA is filed under the name Homo sapiens (human). RNAcentral's name for it is "HSALNT0305868". The record is from RNAcentral. Lineage: Eukaryota; Metazoa; Chordata; Mammalia; Primates; Hominidae.
GAAAAUCUUUCCACCGCAGUACAAAAAGAUCGAUUUCAUUUUGUUAACAGAUGGAUGUGCCAUAGGGCAAUUAACUGUUUAGUUAUCCUGUUAUCCUGUUGUGGAUAUUUAAGUUCAAACAAUGCAGUAAUAAAUAUGCAAGAGUGCUUUCAGACAUUAAAGAAUAUGGCUCUAAAUUAGGGACCUAGUGCCUGUAAUCCCAGCACUUUGGGAGGUCGAGGUGGGUGGAUCACCUGAGGUCAGAAGUUUGAGACCAGCCUGGCCAACAUGGCAAAACCCCGUUUCUACAAAAAAUACAAAAAUUAGCUGGGUAUGGUGAUGCGCACUUGUAGCCCCAGCCACUUGGGAGGCUGAGGUAGGACAAUUGCCUGAACCCACAAGGCGGAGGCUGCAGUGAGCUGAGAUGAUGUCACUGCACUCCAGUCUGGGAGACAGAGUGAGACUCUGUCCCAAUAAUAAAUAAAUAAGUAAAUAAUCUAGAAGUACAAUUGCUUAGCCAAAUUGCUUAUGCAUUUUGAAUGAUGAGAGUUGCUGCCUAAUUUCUGUUACAAAGGCUAUGGUAAUUUACACUCAAAACACAGAAUUGGUUGGUUGUUGUUACAGACGGAGUCUUACUGUUGCCGAGACUGGAGUGCAGUGGUGUAAUCCUAGCUCGUUGUAGUCUCCAACGCCUAGGCUCAAGCAAUCCUCCCACCUCAGCCUCCCUCCCAAGUAACUAGGAUUACAGGUGCAUGCCACCACACCUGGCUAAUUUUAUUUUUAGAUAUGGGAUCUUGCUCCGUUGCCCAGGUUGGUCUCGAAAUCCUGGCCUCAAGGCGACCUCAGCCUCCAGUGUAGCUGACAUUACAGGCAUGAGACACUGUACCUGGCUGAAUGAGUGCCUCUAUCCUGACACUUGUGUCCCCACGGGAUCCUGCAGAAUUCAGGACCCCGUCCACACAGGGGAAAACUCUCUGUUGCGGUCCUGAUGACUGAGGAGGGAGCUUACCCAUGGCUCUCCUGGUCAUUUUUAUUUAAUAGUGAGCGCAGAACCUCACAUUUUCUGGAAUGUUCCCAUAUGAUUUUGUGAGAGAAAAGAGAAUAGAGACCCAACCCCAAGCUCACUGUGUCAAAGGGAAAAUUAAGCUUGGGAACUGAGUUACGCAAUACUCCUUCCUUGUUCUCAAACACAUAGCUAUAACUUCACAACCCUGUGUCAUAGCCUCAUCCAUAAGCCAGGUUCCCACAGUGACAGAAGGCCGCAUGUCUCCUCACAUGUCCUCCCUCACAAUUUGCCGUGAGCCCCUAAAUCUUUCAGAAUGCACAUCCCACCUAUAAACUAGCCCUAAAAGUGAGUCAGCUCAAUUUCACCCUGACAAUCUCAAUUACCAGGUUAUUUUCAUAGUUCUGGGACAAGGUCAGGACCAGAAAUCAUCCCUCUGCCUAUCCUGAGAUGAAUGAAUCAUUGACUUUUCCUCUAUUCCACUCCCUCUAUUCACAUGCUUACUUUAUCUUAUGUAAAAUGAAGAUUUACUGAAUGCGACAUGAACUGUUUCCUCUGCUCCCUCCUUUCCUAUGUAAAAUGUAGAUAUCCUGAUGCUAAUCAGAGCCACACAAGAAUGCAAACAUAUGCUUCACUGCCUACCUUCAGUCUCACGGGAGUUCUCUGGAUUUCUUGUAUCAGCUGGUGGACCUCUCUAGCAAGAUUGAGGACACUUUCCUGAAUUAUAUCCUCAAAAAUGUUUUCCAAGUUGCUUACAUUCUCUUCUUCUCUGUUAGAAAUGCCAAUAAGUCAGCCAGGCACAGUGGCUCAUGCCAGUAAUCCCAGCACUUUGGGAGGCCAAGGUGGGAGUAUCACUCGAGGCCAGAAGUUUGAGACCUACCUGGCCAGCAUGGCGAAAUCCCAUCUCUACUAAAAAUACAAAAAUUAGCCAGACAUGGUGGCACAUGCCUGUAAUCUCAGAUACUUGGGAGGUUGAGGCACGAGAAUUGCUUGAACCCAGGAGGUGGAGGUUUCAGUGAGCCAAGAUCAUGCCACUGCACUACAGACUGGGUAACAGAGUGAGAUUCUGUCUCAAAAAAAAAAAAUGCCAAUAAGUCAUAGAUUUUGUUCCUUUACAUAAUCCUAUAUUUCUCAAAAGUUUGGUUCAUUAUUUUUAAAUUCUUUUUUUUAUUUUUGUCUGACUGGGUUGAUUCGAAGGUCUGGUCUUUGAGCUCUUAAAUUAUUUUUUCUAUUUGGUCUAGUCUGUUGCUAAGGCUGCCAACUGUUUUUUGAAAUUCCUAUAGUAAAUUUUUCAAUUCAAGAAGCUCUGCUUGGUUCUUUCUCAAUAUAGCUAUGUUGUCAUUCAAAUCCAGGAUCGUUGUUAUGGGGUUGUUGUUGGAUUCAACUUUCUGUUGGAUUUUGGUGAAUUUUUUUGCCACUUAUAUCUUGAAUACUAUACCUGUCAUUUCAGACAUUUCAUUCUGGUUAGGACUCAUUGCUAGGUUGCUGGUGUAAUCCUUUGGAGGUGAUGGAACAUUCUGGCUUUUUGUAUUGCCAGAGUUCUUGUGCUGGUUUCUUCUCAUCUGGGAGACUUGAUGCUUCUUUUGUUGAAUUUGAUAUCAUUUGGAAGGAGGUUUUUUUUUUUAAUUUUUCAUUCUUUCUUUCUCUUAAGGGUGUGACUGUGGUGUGUGUUGUAUAGGAUCAGUUUGCUUCAUUUCUGGGUACUUUCAGAGGACCAAGGCUCUGUACAAGUUCCUUGGUUGCAGAUAGGCUCCUGUGGUGGCUUGAUGUGGUGAUGUAUUUUUGUUUGGUGGUGUAAUUCAGGCUUCAGUGCAGUAGACAGUGCUUAAGAGUAACAGCUGGCUGCAGGGUCUUCUCCUCUGUGUACUUGUCCACGACAGGUGCAGAAGUGACAAAGUGCCAAAAGUGCCCUGUCCCCAUGUGUACUAGUCUUCAGCAGGGGCAGAGUCCUGGAGAAACCUAAGAAGCAGCCUCUUUCAGCUCACGUUCCUUGGGCCCCAACAGGGUGACCACUACUGGGUCUGCAGCAGUGCACUAGGAAGGGGACAGAGGGCAAGAGAUGACCACCUCUCUAAAUCUGUUCCCAGGCUUUGGUGUGCCCCUUUCAGCAGCUGAUGUCAUGAUCGUGUUUCCUUUGACCCAAGGGGUGGGUUUGGCAAGCUGUAUUCCUCCUUCCCUUAGGGCUGGUCCUCACCAAAGUUUAGGUCUCCUGGGGAAUGGGGUUCACCUCCCUCCUGCUUCUUGGAGCUGAUGAGGUACUCUCUCAACUGACCAAGAGAGCAGGCUGGGACACCCAGCAAUGACACACACAGACCAGUUCCAGGUUGCAAAGCUGUUCUUGGCUGCAAGUCUCACCGUCCUUGAGAAACCUCUGCUUUAGCAACUCUCUUCCCACUACAGUCCUGCAAGAGGAGAGAGCCUAAUUCCAAUACCUACUGCUGGGGCACUUUCCACACUCAACACUCAAUUCUGGCUGUGGAGGCUGCUCCCCUGCUCCAGAGCAAGCACUUCAAUUCCUAGCCCAAGAUUAAAGUGUCUGCAGUGGCCACCAUUGCCAGGCACCAAAGAAUGAUUGACUUUGUAUGAGCCCAGAUUAAAAAUGGCAUCCUUCGCUCAGUCCCAGGUCUGGGGAAAUGCCUGCAGCUUUUCUGAGUGUCUUUCCUCUUUCCCCAUCUCUCAGCCACUUUUGUGCUAGCUCUAAGCACAUAAGUGCUUUCUUGGGAGAAACAGUGCUCUCCCUUAAUCUGGGUUGCACAGAUCCCCAGUGGAAAGGUGAGUCGCAGAGGGAGACUGGAUGCUCUUCUCUCGUACUGGAGUUUCAUUCCCUUUUAUGAACCAAAUGCUAUCACAGAGGCUGCUUUCCCACCUCCCCCUCCACAGGGUCUGGAGUGUUCUUCUCUAUUCCUGUGAAUUCCUAUUUUUCUUCUUGAAUUGAAGCUCACAAAGUUUAUCUUUAUGCUUAUUUUUCUACUUCCAAGUGGCUGAGGCACACUGAAAGCCCCUAAUCCAUCAUUCUAGGAAAAAAAGGAUGGUUUAAAUAAAGGAAUGUUCAUAUAAAAUAUAUAUUAAUUAACCCAAAUAUAUUUUGUUUGACAUGAGUUAGGUGAAUCUUUGAUACAUUAAUUAAUUUUAAAAUUGUUAAAUAAAAUUAGAAAUAUCUUCGAAUUUGCCAAGGUAUGUUUCUCUCCUGGGAUUACUGGUCAGUUUUAUUUUUUCCUCGGAUAGAUGUUUUAAGCCAUAAAUCUUGACAUAGACCUGAUGUAGACCUCCAUACCUUUCCCAGAUGUGGGACGGAGCAACUGGGACAGGUCCAUCCUAGCACUAAGGGAUGAUUAAGCCUAACUUGUAGUCGUUGUACAACUAUAGACAUGGUUGAUGCUUUAAGAGAAAGAUCUUGAUGGAAAGGGGUAAAUGUAAAAAUUGAUCAUAUGAAUUGGGUCAUUCUUGUCACACCAAAUAAAACCAUCAAGAAGCCAGGGGGAGGAGGCAUUCAGGGCAAAAACACCACUCCAAAAACGUAAUUCUCUGCAUGCCUGGCUGCUGAAAUUACCUGCUUUAAGCUGAAACCAGUUUUAUCGAAUGGUUACUGAAACAACCUCUUGCAACACUAAGACUAGUUUUACCCACCACUGUCCCUCACCUAUCAGAGCCUGCCAGCUCUCAAAAACCUUACUGGUGCCAGUGAACUUUCUCAAAGAGAAAUACACACCAUUUUUCUCUCUGUCUCCCUCUUUAUAAAACCUCUAACUUUCUCUUUAUGUUUUGGACACACUAAAGACACCCAUUCUUCAUGUAUGUGUCAAAUUGUAAUACUUGUAUCUCAAAUAAAACAUUUUAAUUUCAGAUGUUUGUCUCUAUAUUUAUUUGACUUUGACAAUCUGAUAUUAUUUAGCAUUAUUUCCAGUCCCCCAAAUAAU